UACGUAGGGUGCAAGCGUUGUCCGGAAUUAUUGGGCGUAAAGAGCUCGUAGGCGGUUUGUCGCGUCUGCCGUGAAAGUCCGGGGCUCAACUCCGGAUCUGCGGUGGGUACGGGCAGACUAGAGUGCAGUAGGGGAGACUGGAAUUCCUGGUGUAGCGGUGAAAUGCGCAGAUAUCAGGAGGAACACCGGUGGCGAAGGCGGGUCUCUGGGCCGAUACUGACGCUGAGGAGCGAAAGCGUGGGGAGCGAACAGG
This 253-nucleotide ribosomal RNA is filed under the name uncultured bacterium. Its description in RNAcentral is "partial 16S ribosomal RNA". It matches the Rfam family "Bacterial small subunit ribosomal RNA", at positions 524 to 776 of the family's 1533-position model. The record is from RNAcentral.